UGUUGAGUAUUGGCAAUAGUUCCUUAUGUUAUCCUCUGCUUGGCAGGAUACCAGAAGAGAGCUUGGAAUGGAAAUAAUUGAGGAACAUACGGUGAUGGAAUAUUCUAAGGUUAGCAAGAAAUGUGAAAAAUGUGGCCAUGGGGAAGCUACAUAUUAUACUAGAUAGAUGAGAUCAUCAGACAAAGGGCAAACUACUUUCUACACAUGUACCGGUUGCGGUCAUCAGUCUCAGGAGAAUUAGUGGUUUACUUUAAGGUUAUGCUUAGCUUGGGAGAGAAAAGUGGAAGGAAAAAGAAAGAUAAAGAGUGAAAACUGAGAUGAUUUUUUGGUAGGAGAGAAAAUGAAAAGAAAGUUAAUUUUUUUUCUUCUUAUUUGAUUGUGUAUAAUGGAAAAAAAAAUAUGUACGUGAAAUGUAAUAAAUACUUAAAACUUGGAAUCAAAUGUAGCAAUUAAUCUUUUCAUAAAAAAAAUAUAUU
Long non-coding RNA from Glycine soja, 476 nucleotides. RefSeq lists it as uncharacterized. The record is from RefSeq and is a predicted model, not a curated record. The transcript has 3 exons. Lineage: Eukaryota; Viridiplantae; Streptophyta; Magnoliopsida; Fabales; Fabaceae.